GUGCUUGCUUCAGCAGCACAUAUACUGAAAUUGGAACAAUACAGAGAAGAUUAGCAUAGCCCCUGCGCAAGGAUGACACGUAAUUCAUGAAGUGUUCCAUAUUUUU
Small nuclear RNA from Nannospalax galili (Upper Galilee mountains blind mole rat), 106 nucleotides. The record is from Ensembl. Lineage: Eukaryota; Metazoa; Chordata; Mammalia; Rodentia; Spalacidae.